Molecule: ribosomal RNA, 392 nt
Filed under: Varotoga cryptozoica
Lineage: Eukaryota; Metazoa; Mollusca; Bivalvia; Galeommatida; Galeommatidae
Description: partial 16S ribosomal RNA
Rfam family: Bacterial large subunit ribosomal RNA
Source: RNAcentral
CCCGGUGAAGUUUAAACGGCCGCAGUUAGAAGCUGUGCUAAGGUAGCGUAGUAAGUUGUCCUUUAAAUGGGGAAAGGAAUGAAUGGUUUGACGUGAGAAAAGCUGUCUCUGUUAGAAAAAGAAAAGUUUUCUUCUUGGUGAAAAGCCCAAGAUUUGGUUAAAAGACGAGAAGACCCUUUCGAGCUUGAUAAAAUGCUUAGUAUUCUAGGGGUGUAAGUUUGGUUGGGGCAACCUAGGAGCAAAAGGAGACUCCUUGAAGAUUCUAUGAAUCCAAAAAUUUUGAAUAGAGAAAAAGCUACCGUAGGGAUAACAGCGUUAUCCUCUCUGAGAGAACAAAUUGAAGAGGGGGUUUGCGACCUCGAUGUUGAAUUAAGGUUUCCGUUGGGCGUAGA